RNAcentral lists this ribosomal RNA (520 nucleotides) under uncultured Entrophospora. Its description in RNAcentral is "SSU rRNA". It matches the Rfam family "Eukaryotic small subunit ribosomal RNA", at positions 569 to 1086 of the family's 1831-position model. Lineage: Eukaryota; Fungi; Glomeromycota; Glomeromycetes; Entrophosporales; Entrophosporaceae. The record is from RNAcentral.
AGCAGCCGCGGUAAUUCCAGCUCCAAUAGCGUAUAUUAAAGUUGUUGCAGUUAAAAAGCUCGUAGUUGAAUUUCGGGAUUGACGUGAUGGUCGUGCCUUAAGGGGUAUGAACUGUCGCAGUUGAUUUCUCACCUUCUGGAGAAGCAUGAUGUCCUUAAUUGGGUGUCGUGUGGAACCAGGACCUUUACCUUGAAAAAUUAGAGUGUUUAAAGCAGGCAUUUUGCUCGAAUACAUUAGCAUGGAAUAAUAGAAUAGGACGGCAUGGUUCUAUUUUGUUGGUUUCUAGGAUCACCGUAAUGAUUAAUAAGGAUAGUUGGGGGCAUUAGUAUUCAAUUGUCAGAGGUGAAAUUCUUGGAUUUAUUGAAGACUAACUACUGCGAAAGCAUUUGCCAAGGAUGUUUUCAUUAAUCAAGAACGAAAGUUAGGGGAUCGAAGACGAUCAGAUACCGUCGUAGUCUUAACCAUAAACUAUGCCGACUAGGAAUCAGACGAUGUUAAUUUUUAAUGACUCGUUUGGCUA